This 4998-nucleotide long non-coding RNA is filed under the name Gallus gallus (chicken). RNAcentral's name for it is "lncRNA (ENSGALG00010008848.1)". The record is from RNAcentral. Lineage: Eukaryota; Metazoa; Chordata; Aves; Galliformes; Phasianidae.
CCCCAGCCCAUACCUGCAUGUGCUCCGCGCAGUACAAAGGGCGGCCCGCAGCCGUCCCCCUCGCGCACUCCGCAGCCGGAGCGCGGCCGGCGGGGGGGCGAGGGAGCGCGCGGAGAACAAUAAGCCCGAAGACAAGUCGUACCUUCUGCUUUCUUUACACUGCGAACCCCGGUUUCCUCACGAGCCUACAGCGAGGCUGACCGCUUUGAAGAGGCGGGAGAGAUGGGAGAAAGUUGCCUCGAUCUCUCCGGAUAAAGUUGCCGAAGAUGAGCUAAUCCGGGAGAGAUGCGGAGUUCACCCGAGUUUCUCCUUUUGUUCAAGUUGCCCGAGCAGACAAAGAGCCGCCGGCGGCGGCAGGUCCCCGCUCCCCCACUCCACCCCCCCUCCCGGCUGGGUCCCGCCGUGCCCUCUCCCCUCAUCGCCCCAUGGCCCCCCCAACUUUCCACCUCCUCCAUCCCUCCUCGGCCCUGGCGCAAAACUUCCCUCACACUGAACCUCCUGGAAGAAAGAAAAAAAAAAAAAAAGGAAAAAAAAAUUCAAGGCUGGUUGAGGGGUGGAAAGGGAGAGCAACAUCUCUCAAAUCAUUAUUUCCGGUAGAUGCACCUCUUUGUUUGGAUUCCCCCGACUGUCAGUGAGGACAGCCUCUGGGUAUCGGUUAGUCGAAGCGCGCAGAAUGAGACGGGCAAACGCGGGCCGUAAAGGAAAACAAGUUUGGGAGAAGAAAAAGGAAAGAAAGAAAAAAAAUAAAAAAAAAAAAAGGGAGAGAAGAAAGAAAACCUCCGGAGUUGCGAAACGAACCCUUUAUACAUGGACACGGGAAGUACAUAAAUAAACAACUGGAGGGGAAUUUGGGAAGACUGUUGCAUCUCCUCCCCCCUCCCCUUCGUACAUUUGCCGAGAAAAGAGCCAAGGAGCCCCCCAAAGCCCCGUGCCGCGGCCGGCCUCUGGCAUCCCUACCUGUUGCGUAAAGCGCGAAGCAGGGGCCGACAGCAUCCGUCCCGAAGAAACCGAAGGAUAAGGACCCGCGCCCCCUCACCUGCCCCCGGACGCCCCCACGGGGAUAGGAGCAAGACUCCAGAGCAAAGCUGUUCCUGACCCUAGGCAUCCCUACACCAGCAAGACCUUGUGCCCUGUGUCAGAUCUUCUGGGAGAGCCGGACUGCAUGGACUCAGGGCUGCAGCCUUUAAGAGGAAGAAGAUGGAUGACAGACUUCUCCCUGCUACCCCACCAGAGGCCAUGCAAGUGGAAAGAACCUUCCCCUAGCCCCAGGCUGACAGAGCUAUCAGAGGGAAUCUUUGCAAAUUCAGCACAUACCAAACAAUGGGGAUUUUCCUCUGUGUGAUGAGACAUACUCCUGAUCACAGCCCUGGCAAGUCAGUUCCAUUCUGCUGCUUUCAUUCUGGCCAGCUGGUAUCAGCCUCCUGCAUCUCCAAGUCUUAUGAGUUUGACCCUUUUCCUGUGGAAUUAGGUAUGACAAAAAUACCUGUCAUUGUGAAGGACAACAGAAUAUAACUUGUUUUUGCGAGAAAUACCAGGGUCACUCUAAGCUCAGAAAUACUGUGGCAGCUCCAGUAAAACCAGCAAAGUAAAUAUAGACACAAGAUAAACUAUCUGGUCUUCCCUUUGCCUGUGACCUCUAUUACUUUCCCUGUUUCUCUGACUAUAACCUCAGUAAGUGUAUUUUUGAUCCUUCAGUUAAUAUGAUUAUCAGGCUUCACACUGCCACUGCUCUCAAAUUUUCCAGAUGGCAUUUCAUCUGGAAAGUUACAACCCUGUUCUGCUUGUUAUUUAUUUAACAACUGUGCUUUUGACUAAUACAGAAUACUCUCAGUAACAGAUCUAUAUUAAUCAAAGUUCAGAUAUUCAGUGUUAGCAAUUUAUUUUGAUUUUGUCACCAUUUACACAAAGUUAUUUACCUACGCCUCUAGCAUUUUUCAAAGGACUCUGUUGCUUUAAUACACACUUACUAAAAUACAAACUGUACUUAAAGCCAUUCUCUGGAGGAGUCCCCGUCCUGAAUGAAGUUCUGUGGCACAACUGAACUACAUGAAAUGACAGUGGCAGUCUCCUAAGGGUGAAUUUACCUCUGUGUUAAUGAAUGAAUGGAAUAGACAUACGGAGUCUCAGUGAGAUAGUCCUUAUGCUCCCUCAGGGAAGUUGAGGUGCUACGUUGAUAAUUGAACACUGGUAAAAGACAGAGUUAGAUUAUUUUUCUUAAACCCACGAUUUUGCAGUAGGGAUUCAGUCCAUCUUCCAGUGGAAUGUCUGAAAAAGUUUCAUAGACACCAGAACUGAUAUUGCCUGUCACUAUACAAACCGAAAACCGCUUCGUCACUCUAUAAAUGGAAGCUCCAGCCACACUAUAGCAAGCACCAAUGCAAGUGAAUUUAUGCACAAAUGUAACUACCAGAUUUAAGCUAAAUUUUGAGAGACCAGAUCAAGAAGGGUGCAAGCUCCAAAGGCAACAACUUGAAACUCUAACUUAGCUCUAACCCCUUUCUUCACCUUCUUUUCUCUGCGUAGUGUCAUUUUUAACAAAAUGUGCCAAAUUACAAGUCAUAAAAGCUCAAGUAUGUAAGCUGCAAAUCUGGUGCUUUCCACAAGGCCAGAAGUGUCAUGAAAGAAAAACGCCAUCCAUAAUAUGGGACUGUUUGGAAUCAGAUUAGAGAGACCUAGAAUUCGUCAGCAACUUCUGCCCAUAAGGUCAAAUUAUGAAGUCUGUACUUACUACAUAUAAACACACUCCAUUUCCAGAUUCUGCCCCCCACAGACACAGCAUAAUCUAUGACGUCCAUCAGUCAUCAGCUAGUUUAUAUCAGACUCCUACUAUACCUACAUAAAUAUGUUGAAUAUUUGGAAUAAUACAUUCACAAAGCAAUGAUCAUAUUUAUUUAUAUUUUACAAAGAGAAAAAAAAAUGUGAGAGAGUAAAGAUAGGCUGCCUUCAUAGCCAUUACAGGGAAAGUGUGGAGAAAUCACCAGAAACCCCCACCAGGGGAGAGAUAUGGAGCUUUUGGAAAGAGUCCAGAAGAAGGCCAUGAAGAUGAUCCAAGGGCUCCGGCAUGAAGAUCUAUGAAGAUAGGCUGAAGAGACUGAGCUUGUUCAGCCUGGAAAAGAGGAGGCUAUGGGAAAACCUCAUUGCAGCCUUCCCAUAUUUAAAGGGAGAUUGAAACAGGAGGAAAAACUACUUUUUACACAAGUAGUUUGUUAUAGAAUGAAGGGGAAUGGUUUUAAACUAAAGGAAGAGAGGCUUACAGUGGAUGUCAGGGAGAAGUUUUUACUGGGAGAGUGGUGAGGUGCUGGGACAGGCUUCCCAGAGAGGUUGUGGAUGCCCCAUUGCUGGAGGUAUUUAAGGCCAGGUUGGAUGGGGCCCUGGGCAAUCUGAUCUCAUGCUUAAUUUAGCAGCUGGCAACCCUGCCUGUAGCAGUGGGGUUGGAACUUGAUGAUCCUUGAGGUCCCUUCCAACCUAGGCCAUUCUAUGAUUCUAAACAUGAAGAGAGCUAAAUAUUCUCUAGAUAAAAGAAAGGCAGAGAAGGAAUGACUAUCUGAAGGGCAGUCCCAUGUGCAGAAGCUGGGAAUGGAUACCCACAGGGCCCAGACAUGGGGUCACCAACCUCAAGGUUGCUGCCAUGUCAGGACCUGCGUGGGCAGCUGGCCAAUGCGAUACAGGAGGUUCCUCCACUUCCUUUCUUUGGUCACCAACCUGCCAUGAGGUUUGAAUGGCUUCUGUCUAUCUCUAAUGGGGACCUGGAGGAAAGACAUUCAUCCUAUCACAAGCCUCCUGAGCCAUCUCAACUCCAACACAGCAGUUUUUUAAAAAUUCUUAAGCUUACUUCACACAGAUAUAAAUAAUUAUACAGACAAUACAAGUCAAAGAAGAGUCAGGCACUAAAUACUGAUAGAAAGCCUUAUUCCUCCUUUCUUCAGUGAAAACUCUAGAUCUCUGUUCUGCAUUAUUCAUUCAGUAAUCCACCUCUGUGAUACACAUGUAAGAGCUGUUUCAACAAUUUAUGAGCUUUAGUGAUGGCUGAAUAAUCACAUUUUAUAGUCUGAUACAGAUAUCAGAAACACCUGAUACAGAUACAAAAAAGAUUGUGGUAGGUUAUUUCAUGAAAGGCUAAUGCAUCAAAAAGUCCAAGUUGGAAGGCAUUGGAAGGACUUAAGGGAAAUUCUUUCUGCUCUUACAUUAUCUAUCAUUACAUCAGUAACACAGUCCUUGAGGUUUGCAAUUGCCCAGCUCCAGACACUUUAAUAAAGAAAUACAUAAAAUCAAUGCAACUCAUUUUCUCCCAUCUUCAUUUAAAAAUAAAAAAUUGAAAUCUCUGUUCCAGAAACAAAUAAAUAAAUAAAUCUGCUAAUGCAGAAUAUGAAUUACAGAGCAACUUUUAAAAAACUGUACAUGAAAAGUCAAGGUCAUUUUGUAUAAUCACACAAAUGAACAAAUAGCUGUGGUAAACUGAAAUUCCUGGAAAUCAUGUAAAUAACCGGCCAUAAUCAGAGGCUGCAGAGCAAUUAUUAAUCUACUGAUGCUGACCUACCAGACACCCUAAGUUCACCAGACUAUUUUUAACCUAUUUUAGUUACAGAAUGUAUCUAGAACUAUCCUUUGCUUCUUACAUUUCUUUCUGUAAAUUGCAUAGGCAAUAUCCAUUGUAUAUCCUGUAGUACAAAUCAAAUUAUUAUCCUAACAAGCUCUUCUGGGAAAUAUAAAAAUUCUGAAGCUAAAAAUCUGUAUGAAAGUAGAUACUUCCAUUGCUUUAUCAUUAAUCAAAAGAUAUACUAAUGUUCUAAUGGCACAACUAUUUAAACAUUCAAAAGUACAAAAAUGUACUUGCUUAAAAUAUCUGAUAAGAAAACAUCCUUAAAAGUGAUCACAGCUAAAAUUGCUUUUCUAGAUACAAAUGGAACACACUUUACAUCAGACUAAACACUCAGAAGACAGGUAGUGAAUUGGAGACUACGUAGAUGCUUAGCCAGGCCUGUGUCAAUCUCCAUCCAU